This 796-nucleotide ribosomal RNA is filed under the name uncultured bacterium. RNAcentral describes it as "bacterial SSU rRNA". It matches the Rfam family "Bacterial small subunit ribosomal RNA", at positions 60 to 850 of the family's 1533-position model. The record is from RNAcentral.
AGUCGAACGGACUCAUAUUGAAACCUAGUGAUUUAUGAGUUAGUGGCGGACGGGUGAGUAACGCGUGGAAAACCUGCCGUAUGCCGGGGGAUAACACUUAGAAAUAGGUGCUAAUACCGCAUAAGCGCACAGCUUCGCAUGAAGCAGUGUGAAAAACUCCGGUGGUAUAUGAUGGUUCCGCGUCUGAUUAGCUAGUUGGCGGGGUAACGGCCCACCAAGGCAGCGAUCAGUAGCCGGCCUGAGAGGGUGAACGGCCGCAUUGGGACUGAGACACGGCCCAAACUCCUACGGGAGGCAGCAGUGGGGAAUAUUGCACAAUGGGGGAAACCCUGAUGCAGCGACGCCGCGUGAGUGAAGAAGUAUUUCGGUACGUAAAGCUCUAUCAGCAGGGAAGAAAAGGAACUAAAGUUCCCAUGACGGUACCUGAUUAAGAAGCCCCGGCUAACUACGUGCCAGCAGCCGCGGUAAUACGUAGGGGGCAAGCGUUAUCCGGAUUUACUGGGUGUAAAGGGAGCGUAGACGGCAGCGCAAGUCUGGAGUGAAAUGCCGGGGCCCAACCCCGGAACUGCUUUGGAAACUGUGCAGCUGGAGUGCGGGAGAGGUAAGUGGAAUUCCUAGUGUAGCGGUGAAAUGCGUAGAUAUUAGGAGGAACACCAGUGGCGAAGGCGGCUUGCUGGACCGUAACUGACGUUGAGGCUCGAAAGCGUGGGGAGCAAACAGGAUUAGAUACCCUGGUAGUCCACGCCGUAAACGAUGAUUACUAGGUGUCGGGGGACCAAGGUCCUCCGGUGCCGGC